CCCGCGCCAGGCCUGCGGGCUGCGCGCGCAGCCCAGGCUCCCGCCCGCGCCUCCCACUCCACACCUCCCAGCCAACAGAGGGAGCCGGCUGGCUGCAACCUCGGCCAGCCCCACAGAGGGAGCCCCGCAGACGGGCCCCCACAGCGCAGCUGCCAACUGAAGGGCUUCUCGAGGGUGGCCAGAGCUGAUGCCAAGGCACAGGCUCCAAGAGCGAGUGAGGGCUGCUAACACAUUGUCACCUUUCAAUGAGUCUGGCAAAACAGAGUUUGGAACUUCUCCAAGGGAGGCUGAUCCCGGGUGCACUGUGGCAGGUGGCAGUAUAGACUUUUGUGAAGCAGCGGUGUGCAGUGAUAUGAGCAGCAGAUGAAGAAGGAAGGAAAUGAAGUCGCUCAAUUCUAAUACGGCAUUAUUACUCCUAUAUUUGGAAUCAACAUGUGGAAUUCCUAGGUGUGAGUAACUCAUUGUGCUGUG
Long non-coding RNA from Macaca mulatta (Rhesus monkey), 471 nucleotides. RefSeq lists it as uncharacterized. Lineage: Eukaryota; Metazoa; Chordata; Mammalia; Primates; Cercopithecidae. The record is from RefSeq and is a predicted model, not a curated record.